AAAUCAGUGGCCUAAACCUGGUUUAAACCAUGGACUAUCUUUUUUCCUAUUCUCGAAGGUGGCCUAAAGAUAAGCCAGGCUUAAAUACGUCAUAGUUCGGCCUAACUUUAGGCCGCUCAGAGGGCAGGUUUAAAUACGUCAUAGUUCGGCCUAACUUCACGUGACGUCACUUUUUAGUUAAAUCGACUGUCCGCGGAGAGUGAACGGUUCUUUUCAAUUGAUGCAUGGGGAUGAAAAAAGAAGGCCUCUCCCAAGCUACGGUGUCCCGCCUUGUGAAGUCCAUCUCAAUAGCCAUUGCCAGGAGAUGGGAGCAAUACAUCUCAAUUCCUUCAACAAGAGAGGCAGUCCUGCAGAGUGCAGACCCAACAUGAAUUUUAUAAUUACUGCCAUUUCCCUGGCGUUAAUAUCGUCGGUGCUAUUGAUUGCACCCACAUAGGCGUCUCCAAGCCAGUUGGCCAAACACCAGUUAUUUCCUGAACAGGAAAAAUAGAUACUCCAUUUUUCUUGGAAAGUCUGCUGGAUGAUGUUUUUCUUCAGUAAAAUAAAUGAAAUCAAAUUCCCUGAUAACUGAGACAAAUUCAGAGAGAGGAAGGAGAACUACUGAGCUGCUGAAUAUCUGACAGGUAGGCUGUACGAAUAAGUUGUUGUUUGUAUGCCCAGGUACUUCAAGGAUGGCAUUUGUUCAUUCACAUUUUUCAAUCAAUACUUUCAUGUAAUUGAUUAUGUACUCCACUUUUACCACAAUGUACAUGCAAGACCUUUUUAAUGUUUAACAGAAAUAGGUUUCAAUGUGCUUCCUUUCAUUCUUUUCUCUUUUCAUUCAACAGACAUACUUGCAAGGACUAUGAAGUUCUACUUAGCCUCUUCAAUGAACCAGACUCCAUCUGCUGUAACUGUGACUGCAUGGGGAUCAAAACCUUUGUAUUAUAAUCCUCAUAACAUGAAGCUAUGGUAACAAACAAGCAACCAUUGAUAAAAAGCCUGAUAUGUCCUUGUUGUGUAUGUGAACCACAAAGCAACCAUCACUUAUAAGGAUGUUUUUAUGUACAUCAGAUGUUCAUUGUUUCACUGGAAAAAUUGUGAUUUAGAAUCAUUUAAGAAAUCAUGUUUCAUGAUGUGUUUUAUAAUAUAGUGCAAGUCAUGAAACACGGCUCAAAAGUAGACUAUGCUUUGUUUUAACAAAAAUGGGAAAAAGUAAUGAAACAAAUACAUAACAUUUAAUUCUAAUAGUUUCAAGUAGCAGAUUAUGAGGCUAUUGGAGCUUUAUA
Strongylocentrotus purpuratus (purple sea urchin) is the source of this 1268-nucleotide long non-coding RNA. RefSeq lists it as uncharacterized. The transcript is spliced from 3 exons. The record is from RefSeq and is a predicted model, not a curated record. NCBI's taxonomy places the organism in Eukaryota, Metazoa, Echinodermata, Echinoidea, Camarodonta, Strongylocentrotidae.